RNA transcript from Cydia pomonella (codling moth), 5503 nucleotides. RefSeq lists it as uncharacterized. NCBI's taxonomy places the organism in Eukaryota, Metazoa, Arthropoda, Insecta, Lepidoptera, Tortricidae. The record is from RefSeq and is a predicted model, not a curated record. The transcript is spliced from 2 exons.
AGUUUUUUCUUAAAGUUUCUUACCAGAAUCCAGUUACCACGCCAAUUUGGCAAAACGUAUUUACGUAAUGUGUGAUGUUGUUUACUUGUGUAGUACUACACCGAAGUAGUUCAAAUAGUAUCUUGUUUAAAUUCUAAAAAAUUGAGUCUGUAGGACCCAGUAAUGAUUCUUAGAGAAAGUCUAGUAAAUAAUGUUCUUGUGGUAUACACUAAAUAAAAUGGAUAAAAUAGGUGUAGAAUUGUAAGAAAUUAUUUGCUUUCAGUACAUUCAGAAUGGACGACGCCAUGUUAGUUCGUUUGGAACUUAUUCAUGAGCGCCUAUCGAACUUGAUGGCGCAAAGCACCGCCAUGGGUACGGUCACGGAAGAGAAAUUAGCUAAACAGAUUCAGCUCAUCGAAGAGUGCGACUCGAAACUCACUCAAGAAAUACAUUUUUACAUAGAAAAGUGCAGUCAAGUUUCCAGUGAAAGAUUAAAAACUUUUACCAAGACACAGUUUCAGUCGGAAGAAUGGAGGGUGGAAAUGAAAGCUCUGUUAAAAAAUUCUUCAGUGACACUUACCACUGCGAAGUUGCCAAAACUUGCCCUACCAAAAUUCAAAGGAGAAACUCUGCGAUGGGCAGAGUUUUGGGAUCGUUUUAAGAGUAAUGUACACGACAAGUCAUUGCCUGAUGCCGAGAAGAUGGCAUACCUUGUCGGCUGCCUAGAAGCAGAGGCUCUUCAGGCAGUGGAAGGCCUUGGUAUAACUGAAUUAAAUUAUAAUGUAACAUUAGAAAUAUUAAAAGAAAGGUUUGGGAACCAGCAAAAGGUUAUUGAUGCCCACUAUGAUGCCAUCAAUAAUGUUCAAAGGGCAACGCACCAUGCCACGGACUGCAGAGCAAAUUUGAAUAUGAUAGAGAGACAUUUAAGAGUUCUUCAAAGUUUAGGAGAAACCAUAAAUGGAAAUCAUUUAAGGUCUACCAUACUAUCCAAAUUCCCUGAGAAGGUGGUAUAUGAGUUACACUUGCUAACGCUGACGGAUAAUAUAGAUAAUAUACGAAGCGGACUACAAAAAAUUAUAACUGCAAUGGAAAGUGCUAAAGAAAGCCCUGUCCCAAGUAGUAGUGACAACAUUUCUACAGCAGCUUUACAUAUAACUACCCACCAGAAGAAAGGGAAGCAGGAAAACAAGAGGAUAGCCCAUAAAAGGGGGUUUCUUAAAAGAAAACUACCGGAGAAUACUGAGAAGAUGUCAAAAAAUAAGAAACCUAAGAUGGCUUGCAUUUUUUGCCAAGGCGCGCACUACAAUGCAUCCUGCACAGUGGUUCAGGAUAUCAACGAUAGGAAAAAGAAACUAGGCAAAAGAUGUUACAUUUGCUUCAAGGAAGGACAUAGAACAACAACAUGCCACAAUAGGAAGCCGUGCUUCUUCUGCAAAGGAAGUCAUAAUCAAGCUUUAUGUCCACAAAAGCCAGGUCAUAAUAAUAUUGAGUUAUCUAUGGCAUCUAUGUCAUUAUCUAAAUAUAAUGAUAUCAAUAUUAAACAUAAUUAUUGUUCUUACCUACAGACGGCAAUAGUGGAGGUGGGGCCGAAGAACUCAAACAGAACUAAGACACGAAGGCUGAUUCUUGACAAUGGCAGUGGUCGCAGCUAUAUUACCAGGAAGCUUGCAAAAGAACUUGACUUAGUAGCGGAUCAGGAAGAUGAACUGAUGGUAUUUGUUUUCGGUGCUGAUGACCCAGUUAACAUUUCCAGCCCAUCAGUUGACAUCCAAAUUAUAACAAGAAGAGGUAUCAGAAGGGAUAUUCGGGUAAACAUUGUGCGCCGUAUAACUAAUUAUCUUGGUCCUCCCAUGAGUAUGGAUGGAAUUGAUGGAGUAGAUGUUGUAGCUGAUGAUGGGUCUGCUAGUGAAGAACCACAACUUUUGAUGGGUGGUGAUUAUUAUUAUUCAUUUCACAGAAAAGAAAUGCUAUGGCUGAAGGACCCCAAACAAGGAGUGACUGAGAAGAACCUUCUUCAUCUGCGCUUCUGUCGUGUCCCAUUUGGGGUAAUAUCUAGUCCAUUUUUGCUGACGGCUACGAUUCGCCAUCAUUUGUCAAAGGGUGACCAGCACCUUAUGUCAGAAAUAGCAGAAAGAACUUACGUGGACAACUUAGUCACUGGAACAGACACGUUAGAUGAAGCUCGUGAGCUUGUAAACAAGACUCGGGCGACAUUCACAGAAUUGUCUAUGAAUAUAAGAGAAUGGACAUCCAACAACAAACGAUUGCUGAAGACUAUUCCAAAACAGUUUCGAUCAAAAGACACUGAAUCGACAAAGGUAUUAGGACUUACCUGGCACAUAGGAAAGGAUACCCUGAAACUAAGGUUGGGUGAUGUACUUUCCGACACAAAGCAAGACAACACAACUAUAACAAAACGAGGGAUAUUGCGAACUCUUGCUUCAUUAUAUGAUCCUUGCGGUUUCGCGGCACCCUUAAUUUUGCCUGCAAAACUCCUUCUUCAAGAACUAUGGAAAAGGAAAGAAAAAUGGGAUUCUCAAUUGCCAGAAGACUUAGAGGAAGAAUGGCAGAAGGCAGUAAGUGCUCUACAGACUGCUGCUGAAAUAGAAAUACCCAGACAUGUUGGCCUGUCGCCAAAUGAAGACACAGAGUGUGAACUUCAUUGCUUCACUGACGCAUCUAAAAGAGCUUACUCAGCUGUAGUAUAUCUGAGGAUAGUGAAUAAGAAAGAAGUGAGCACUAAAGUAAUGCUCAUAAUGGCUAAAUCCCGAGUUACCCCGAUAAACCACUCGGAAGACCUCAAAAUACCAAAAUUAGAAUUACUUGGAUUCGUCAUUGGGAAGCGACUCUUAACUUAUGUAAAGAACACCCUUAGAAUAGAAUUGAAAAGACUAUGCCUCUGGUCUGACAGUGAAAUAGUUUUAUACUGGAUGAAAUCAGACAAGUUAUUGCCUCCAUUUGUUUGCAGAAGAAUAAAUGAAAUCAAACAAAACAAAGAUAUAGAACCCAGAUAUGUCAAUACUGAAUUGAACCCUGCCGAUCUAGCAACACGACCGGAACUUUGGCACACUAAGAAGGAAUUGUGGUUCAAUGGACCUCAAUUUCUUUCGCUAAGUGAGGAGGGCUGGCCAAAGUUGCAAGAACAUGGCCAGUCAGCUCUUUUUGCAGGAACUGACUCUAUAAUAGAUACCACGUCAUCUCAAGCAGAAGAGUCAGUCAGAGGAACCAUAGAACAGGAAAUUACAGAAGGAAUGACAAUAGAUAUAGAGAAUAUAGAAGACAAUGGUCAGAUGCAGGUUUCGGCCACUGGAGCUGAUAUGAACUGCGCAGAAAUAAAGAAUUUACAAAAAUUACACUUCCCUCAAGAGGCAGCAGGCAAGAAAACAAGCUUAUUCAGGAAUUUAGGACUAUUUGUGGAUAUGGAUGGAUUAUUAAGAUGUAAAGGUCGGCUUAUGAACACAAUGUGUUCAUAUGACACCAAAUAUCCAAUACUGAUACCUAAGAACUCGGAAUUCACAGACAUACUGAUUCUGGAGACUCAUCAGAGAUACUACCAUGUGGGAGCCCCACAUACACUGAGCAUUAUUCGCCAGAAAUACUGGAUUCCUCAAGGAAGAGCGAAGGUUCAGCGAAUCAUAAGAAAAUGCCAGCAGUGUAUUAAACAUGGAGGUGGUCCCUACAAACUUCCCUCCACACCAGCACUACCAGCAGAACGUGCUAAUUAUAGUGCUCCUUUCACAUAUACUGGAAUGGACUAUUUUGGGCCAAUCCUUGUUAUGGAGAAUGGACAGAUGAUAAAAAGAUGGAUUUGUCUGUAUACUUGCCUGGCUGUACGCGCAAUUCACAUGGAAGUAGUUAAGGAUUUAACUGCGGAAGAAUGUUUACUUGCAAUGAGAAGAUUCAUAUCUACACGAGGAAGACCAGAACUCAUUGUCUCAGACAAUGCAUUACAGUUUAAAUUAACUGCAGAAUUAUUGGCGAACACAUACUUCAUGGACAAUAAAAUAAGGUGGAAGUUUAUCCCUCAGCUCAGUCCAUGGCAUGGAGGAUUUUAUGAAAGGCUGGUCGGCAUUGUAAAGAAUUGUAUGAAGAGAACCUUAGCAAAGAGAGUUCUAAAUGACUCACAGCUAAGUACAGUCAUUAAAGAAAUCGAAGCUGUGACGAAUUCACGUCCACUUACUUGUGUUGGGUCUGACAUAGAAUAUCUUUUGAGGCCGACAGACUUUCUAACCUAUGGGAAAUGUAUAGCGAUUGAGCCUUCUAUACAAAAUUCCUAUCCAGGUGGUUCAGUCACAAAAGAAAAUCUAGUAGAGGGAUGGAAGAAGGGAAGAAUUAUGCUAGAAGAAUUUAAAAGAAUGUUUCUGGGACAAUACCUUUGCAGUCUACGUGAAAGGUACCAACACUCACACAAGGAACCCCGAGUCAAAACUAAUCGCAGCCCUCAUAUUGGUGAUAUAGUCCAAAUUAAGGGAGACUCGAAAAACAGGGAGAACUGGAAGGUAGGAAAAAUCAUCAGUUUAAAACGAGGAGCCGAUGGAGAAUGCAGAGUUGCAAAGGUCAAUGUUGAAGGAAAGGAAUUUAUAAGAUCAAUAGGUCACUUAUAUCCAUUAGAGGUGGAAGAGGCUAGACUAGAAGAUUCAGGAACAGAAGAAAGAAUUCAAGUAAAUCCAGAUGUACUGGAGGCAGAGGAAUCUUCACUACAGGGAAGCACAGAGAUAUCUGAAAUAGAAUCCAGAUAUCCUGAAAGGGAAUCAACAGAACAGAUGCCACUAGAAACUGCAGUGGAGGAUGAUGUUAGAUUGGAGACCAAUGGUUUAGACAAAAUACUCACUCCCGAGGAACUGAUCCAGGAAAACGGUAUUGGUGAGCAGGGUAAAGUGGUGUCUGAAGGUGAUGAAGACGUAGAGAGAGUAGAAACUGUGUCAGAUGUCAAUGAAGGAAGAAGUAAAAGAGCAGCGGCGGUCCGGGCGAGAGAAAAGAUUGCCCAAUGGACGAGCCAGCUGAUAGCCCUGCUAUAGAAACUCACGGCCGUUGGGGAGUGUCGCGACGAACGCGAGCCUCAACAAAAUAGCAGUAGGAGGUAGAAGAGACUUUUCCCCGAUGGAACAAUGUUCGUAGGGGGAAUCAGUUGGACAGAAUAAAAGAAAGAUCUGCGGGUGUAAAUCGGUGAGUGUUAGAAAUAUAGUUUCAUCAUUAUUUAGAUGAGAGAGAUGAAGGGAUUACUAAGAACGAGAAUUAGAAUAGAAGCAGCCAAGAAUAAGUCAAAUGGUUGUGAGUGGACAGGGUCGGGCUAUAAGGGGAGUUGUGGAGGCCCGCGGCGGAAAAAGAAUUUCCGCCAAACAAUCAGAAUAGAAUAUAGAUGGUAUUAGAAUUUAGAUCAGAAUAUAAAUCUAGAAAUCGCUUCAUCUCUUACUCUUUAGUACUAUGUUGUAUAUGUUCAGAUGUAUCUUGUCGUUAUGUCUUGUUUCUACUCAGGCAUGGUUUCAUACUAGAGUAAUAAGGAAUAUUUACUCUGGUUGGCAAC